AAUGAAGAGGUUCCUCGUGUACUUUGUACUUUGCACAGUAAUUAAGGAGUGUGUGAAGUCAAGUUCAAGGGCUUCUGAUUUGAACAGGCAGGUUUGUGUCUGUGCCCCUGCCCCACCUGAUGCCCCUCCGAAUGCGGAGAAGUUUCAGCUCUUUCUCUCUUUCCCCCGUUCUCUCUGUCCUUGUCUCUACAUCAUCUCUCUUUACCUCCGACCCCCACUCACCCCUCCCUUCCCAUUCGCACCCUUUAUUCCAGACACCUUCUCCCCUCCCUGUUCAUCACACAUCCCUCUCUAUCAUCCCUCUCUCCCUUCUUCCGUCCCUGUUCAUCACACAUCCCUCUCUCUAGCCCACUUUCUUGUCCUCCUCACACAUCCCUUCCCCCACACCUUCUCUCUCUCUCUCGUUUUCUCUCGCUUUCUCUAUCACUCUUUCUCAGUUUUGAUCCAUAUUUCACACGCCAGUCAGCCUUCUCCUCCCCUGUUUCAUUGCCUCACCACUUUUCCUUCCUCUCUCUGUUCCUCCCUCGCCUUGUCGCUCCACUCAUCCGUCCCUGCGCCUUUCAUUCAUCCUUUGUUUUUUAUCCCCCGCUCCUCUCUCUGGUCACGCAUAGUUUUAUCUUCCCCGAAGCUCCUGUAUCAUCUCUGCGUCUCCUCCCUAUUAAGCGGUGUCGACGCCGGGUUCUUUUUUUUUUUUUUUUUUUACAAUUCUUCUCUUUAGGGUUAUUACUCUGUCGUUCCAUCUUUCUAUCACUCACAAAACCCAGCCUCUCUUUGUUUCUCUCUCUUUCUCUCCCUCUCCAUCGCCUCUGUCAUUCCAUCUUUUUAUCACUCACUCUCUCUUUGUUUCUCUCUCUUUCUCUCCCUCUCCAUCGGCUCUGUCGUUCCAUCUUUCCAUCACUCUCUCUUUGUUUCUCUCUCUUUCUCUCCCUCUCCAUCGGCUCUGUCGUUCCAUCUUUCUAUCAGUCACAAAACCCAGUCUCUCUAUCUCUUUCUCUCUCUUUCUCUCCCCCUCCAUUGCCUCUGUGGUAAUUGCUUGUGUGAUCCAUGGAAUAUGUCCUCUGUUU
This is a long non-coding RNA of Clupea harengus (Atlantic herring), 1064 nucleotides long. The record is from Ensembl. Lineage: Eukaryota; Metazoa; Chordata; Actinopteri; Clupeiformes; Clupeidae.